UCUCUCUCUCUCUCUCNNNNNNNNNNNNNNNNNNNNUCCUCCUCUCUCUCUCUCUCUCUCUCUCUCUCUCUCUCUCUCUCUCUCUCUCUCUCUCUCUCUCUCUCUCUAUCUGCCUUAAUUGCUCCGCCCUUCGCCCCUCCUUCGCUUCUCCUCAACCGGUCUCACGCUGUUCCUUCCUUCCCUCCUCCCUCGCGUGUUUGAUUUUAUCAUGGGCGUGGAAGAGAUUUUUUUAGAAUGGGAGAAGAAACCAACGGGGAGGGGGGCGAUAGCGAUGAAACCCAGGGCUCUGUGAGCUAGGAUUGAGGGAUAUUCGGUGAUGAUGCCGCGUCAUACCACGGUUCGGGGGGUUGUGCCGAUUUAGCUCUUUUUGACUUUUGGUGCGUCAGCAUCCGUGGGAUUUGAGUUGUAU
This 409-nucleotide long non-coding RNA is filed under the name Phoenix dactylifera (date palm). Its description in RNAcentral is "long non-coding RNA (PDAC_LNC001960)". Lineage: Eukaryota; Viridiplantae; Streptophyta; Magnoliopsida; Arecales; Arecaceae. The record is from RNAcentral.